GACGAACGCUGGCGGCGUGCCUAAUACAUGCAAGUUGAGCGCUGAAGGUUGGUACUUGUACCGACUGGAUGAGCAGCGAACGGGUGAGUAACGCGUGGGGAAUCUGCCUUUGAGCGGGGGACAACAUUUGGAAACGAAUGCUAAUACCGCAUAAAAACUUUAAACACAAGUUUUAAGUUUGAAAGAUGCAAUUGCAUCACUCAAAGAUGAUCCCGCGUUGUAUUAGCUAGUUGGUGAGGUAAAGGCUCACCAAGGCGAUGAUACAUAGCCGACCUGAGAGGGGGAUCGGCCACAUUGGGACUGAGACACGGCCCAAACUCCUACGGGAGGCAGCAGUAGGGAAUCUUCGGCAAUGGACGAAAGUCUGACCGAGCAACGCCGCGUGAGUGAAGAAGGUUUUCGGAUCGUAAAACUCUGUUGGUAGAGAAGAACGUUGGGGAGAGUGGAAAGCUCAUCAAGUGACGGUAACUACCCAGAAAGGGACGGCUAACUACGUG
This 497-nucleotide ribosomal RNA is filed under the name uncultured bacterium. RNAcentral's name for it is "partial 16S ribosomal RNA". It matches the Rfam family "Bacterial small subunit ribosomal RNA", at positions 28 to 507 of the family's 1533-position model. The record is from RNAcentral.